GUGAACAAUAUGGAUCAUAUAUAUAUACCUGAUGUUGGUAAAAGAGAUGCAUUCUUACCUUACAUACAUUUAAUAUAGAUAAAAUGGCUGGAUAUAUGUGGCGUGCUUUCUCGUUUUCGCUUUGCAUUUUUAAUGAUGUGUCUGGUGAGGUUACGUAUUUGUGAAGCUAUUGAACUGUGAAGAUCAAACCAAGGGCAUGCUGACUGCAAC
Non-coding RNA from Pelobates cultripes (western spadefoot toad), 210 nucleotides. The record is from the annotation of a GenBank genome assembly. NCBI's taxonomy places the organism in Eukaryota, Metazoa, Chordata, Amphibia, Anura, Pelobatidae.